AAAAUUUGGAUCACAUAAUUUCCUUGCAAAAUGAAACAAAUUGCUGUUUUAAAAAAUAGGGGUCCAUGCACUCGUUUUCAAAUUAAAUCAGUUUGAAUGAUAAAAAUCAGUCGAAAAAUGCAUCUUUUACCGAUAUGUCAUAGUUUGACGUCGCGAAAAUAUCAUUUUACGUUAGCAACGUCAUUACAUUCCCUGUAACUGUAUCGUAUGCCCUUAAUAUAAAU
Molecule: long non-coding RNA, 224 nt
Filed under: Mytilus galloprovincialis (Mediterranean mussel)
Lineage: Eukaryota; Metazoa; Mollusca; Bivalvia; Mytilida; Mytilidae
Source: RNAcentral